This 77-nucleotide transfer RNA is filed under the name Luminiphilus sp. RNAcentral describes it as "tRNA-Pro". It matches the Rfam family "tRNA". From Rfam's summary of the family: Transfer RNA (tRNA) molecules are approximately 80 nucleotides in length. Their secondary structure includes four short double-helical elements and three loops (D, anti-codon, and T loops). Lineage: Bacteria; Pseudomonadati; Pseudomonadota; Gammaproteobacteria; Cellvibrionales; Halieaceae. The record is from RNAcentral.
CGGUGUGUGGCGCAGCCUGGUAGCGCACUUCCUUCGGGAGGAAGGGGUCGGGAGUUCGAAUCUCCCCACACCGACCA